GAUGAACGCUGGCGGCAUGCCUAAUACAUGCAAGUCGAACGAGAGGAAGGAAAGCUUGCUUUUCUGAAUCUAGUGGCGAACGGGUGAGUAACACGUAGGUAACCUGCCCAUGUGCCCGGGAUAACUUCUGGAAACGGAUGCUAAAACCGGAUAGGUAGCAGACAAGCAUUUGACUGCUAUUAAAGUGGCUAAGGCCAUGAACAUGGAUGGACCUGCGGUGCAUUAGCUAGUUGGUGAGGUAACGGCCCACCAAGGCGACGAUGCAUAGCCGGCCUGAGGGGGCGGACGGCCACAGUGGGACUGAGACACGGCCCAAACUCCUACGGGAGGCAGCAGUAGGGAAUUUUCGUCAAUGGGGGGAACCCUGAACGAGCAAUGCCGCGUGAGUGAGGAAGGUCUUCGGAUCGUAAAGCUCUGUUGUAAGAGAAAAACGACAUUCAUAGGGAAUGAUGAGUGAGUGAUGGUAUCUUACCAGAAAGUCACGGCUAACUACGUGCCAGCCGCCGCGGUAA
Molecule: ribosomal RNA, 512 nt
Filed under: uncultured bacterium
Lineage: Bacteria
Description: partial 16S ribosomal RNA
Rfam family: Bacterial small subunit ribosomal RNA
Source: RNAcentral